This 332-nucleotide ribosomal RNA is filed under the name uncultured Bacillota bacterium. RNAcentral's name for it is "bacterial SSU rRNA". It matches the Rfam family "Bacterial small subunit ribosomal RNA", at positions 28 to 351 of the family's 1533-position model. Lineage: Bacteria; Bacillati; Bacillota. The record is from RNAcentral.
GACGAACGCUGGCGGCGUGCCUAACACAUGCAAGUCGAGCGGAGACAGGGGAAGAGCAAUCUGAAACUGUUUUAGCGGCGGACGGGUGAGUAACGCGUGAGCAACCUGUCUCUUACAGGGGGAUAACACAGCGAAAGUUGUACUAAUACCGCAUAAGACCACAACGUCACAUGGCGAAGGGGUCAAAGGGGAAAUCCGGUAAGAGGUGGGCUCGCGUCCCAUUAGGUAGUUGGUGAGGUAACGGCUCACCAAGCCAACGAUGGGUAGCCGAUCUGAGAGGAUGAACGGCCACACUGGAACUGAGAGACGGUCCAGACUCCUACGGGAGGCAG